RNAcentral lists this ribosomal RNA (292 nucleotides) under uncultured bacterium. RNAcentral's name for it is "partial 16S ribosomal RNA". It matches the Rfam family "Bacterial small subunit ribosomal RNA", at positions 505 to 796 of the family's 1533-position model. The record is from RNAcentral.
GUGCCAGCCGCCGCGGUAAGACGAACCGUGCAAACGUUGUUCGGAAUCACUGGGCUUAAAGGGCGCGUAGGCUGUUCGCUAAGUCGUGGGUGAAAUCUUUCGGCUCAACCGGAAAAUUGCCUGCGAUACUGGCGAGCUCGAGGGUGGUAGGGGCGAUCGGAACUGCCAGUGGAGCGGUGAAAUGCGUUGAUAUUGGCAGGAACGCCGGUGGCGAAAGCGGAUCGCUGGAUCACUCCUGACGCUGAGGCGCGAAAGCUAGGGGAGCAAACGGGAUUAGAAACCCGCGUAGUCC